RNAcentral lists this ribosomal RNA (320 nucleotides) under uncultured Prevotella sp. Its description in RNAcentral is "partial 16S ribosomal RNA". Lineage: Bacteria; Pseudomonadati; Bacteroidota; Bacteroidia; Bacteroidales; Prevotellaceae. The record is from RNAcentral.
GGAGUCUGGUCCGUGUCUCAGUACCAGUGUGGGGGACCUUCCUCUCAGAACCCCUACCGAUCGAUGGCACGGUGGGCCGUUACCCCGCCGUCUGCCUAAUCGGACGCAUCCCCAUCCGCAAGCAAUAAAUCUUUAACCCUCUUCAGAUGUCAUCAAAGGGCCACAUAGGGCAUUAAUCCGAAUUUCUCCGGGCUAUUCCCUACUUGCAGGCAGGUUGGAUACGCGUUACUCACCCGUGCGCCGGUCGCCAUCAAAGGAAGCAAGCUUCCUUCAUGCUGCCCCACGACUUGCAUGUGUUAGGCACGCCGCCAGCGUUCAUC